RNAcentral lists this ribosomal RNA (2906 nucleotides) under Klebsiella pneumoniae. RNAcentral describes it as "23S ribosomal RNA". It matches the Rfam family "Bacterial large subunit ribosomal RNA". Lineage: Bacteria; Pseudomonadati; Pseudomonadota; Gammaproteobacteria; Enterobacterales; Enterobacteriaceae. The record is from RNAcentral.
GGUUAAGCGACUAAGCGUACACGGUGGAUGCCCUGGCAGUCAGAGGCGAUGAAGGACGUGCUAAUCUGCGAAAAGCGUCGGUAAGGUGAUAUGAACCGUUAUAACCGGCGAUGUCCGAAUGGGGAAACCCAGUGCAAUUCGUUGCACUAUCGUUAACUGAAUACAUAGGUUAACGAGGCGAACCGGGGGAACUGAAACAUCUAAGUACCCCGAGGAAAAGAAAUCAACCGAGAUUCCCCCCAGUAGCGGCGAGCGAACGGGGAGCAGCCCAGAGUCUGAAUCAGCUUGUGUGUUAGUGGAACGGUCUGGAAAGUCCGACGGUACAGGGUGAUAGUCCCGUACACCAAAAUGCACAGGUUGUGAACUCGAAGAGUAGGGCGGGACACGUGGUAUCCUGUCUGAAUAUGGGGGACCAUCCUCCAAGGCUAAAUACUCCUGACUGACCGAUAGUGAACCAGUACCGUGAGGGAAAGGCGAAAAGAACCCCGGCGAGGGGAGUGAAAAAGAACCUGAAACCGUGUACGUACAAGCAGUGGGAGCACCUUCGGGUGUGACUGCGUACCUUUGUAUAAUGGGUCAGCGACUUAUAUUCUGUAGCAAGGUUAACCGUAUAGGGGAGCCGCAGGGAAACCGAGUCUUAACUGGGCGUUAAGUUGCAGGGUAUAGACCCGAAACCCGGUGAUCUAGCCAUGGGCAGGUUGAAGGUUGGGUAACACUAACUGGAGGACCGAACCGACUAAUGUUGAAAAAUUAGCGGAUGACUUGUGGCUGGGGGUGAAAGGCCAAUCAAACCGGGAGAUAGCUGGUUCUCCCCGAAAGCUAUUUAGGUAGCGCCUCGUGAACUCAUCUUCGGGGGUAGAGCACUGUUUCGGCUAGGGGGUCAUCCCGACUUACCAACCCGAUGCAAACUACGAAUACCGAAGAAUGUUAUCACGGGAGACACACGGCGGGUGCUAACGUCCGUCGUGAAGAGGGAAACAACCCAGACCGCCAGCUAAGGUCCCAAAGUCAUGGUUAAGUGGGAAACGAUGUGGGAAGGCACAGACAGCCAGGAUGUUGGCUUAGAAGCAGCCAUCAUUUAAAAGAAAGCGUAAUAGCUCACUGGUCGAGUCGGCCUGCGCGGAAGAUGUAACGGGGCUAAACCAUGCACCGAAGCUGCGGCAGCGACACUAUGUGUUGUUGGGUAGGGGAGCGUUCUGUAAGCCUGCGAAGGUGUGCUGUGAGGCAUGCUGGAGGUAUCAGAAGUGCGAAUGCUGACAUAAGUAACGAUAAAGCGGGUGAAAAGCCCGCUCGCCGGAAGACCAAGGGUUCCUGUCCAACGUUAAUCGGGGCAGGGUGAGUCGACCCCUAAGGCGAGGCCGAAAGGCGUAGUCGAUGGGAAACAGGUUAAUAUUCCUGUACUUGGUGUUACUGCGAAGGGGGGGACGGAGAAGGCUAUGUUAGCCGGGCGACGGUUGUCCCGGUUUAAGCAUGUAGGCUGAUUGUCCGAGGCAAAUCCGGAUAAUCAAGGCUGAGGUGUGAUGACGAGGCACUACGGUGCUGAAGUAACAAAUGCCCUGCUUCCAGGAAAAGCCUCUAAGCAUCAGGUAACAUUAAAUCGUACCCCAAACCGACACAGGUGGUCAGGUAGAGAAUACCAAGGCGCUUGAGAGAACUCGGGUGAAGGAACUAGGCAAAAUGGUGCCGUAACUUCGGGAGAAGGCACGCUGGUGUGUAGGUGAAGUCCCUGCGGAUGGAGCUGAGACCAGUCGAAGAUACCAGCUGGCUGCAACUGUUUAUUAAAAACACAGCACUGUGCAAACACGAAAGUGGACGUAUACGGUGUGACGCCUGCCCGGUGCCGGAAGGUUAAUUGAUGGGGUUAUCCGUAAGGAGAAGCUCUUGAUCGAAGCCCCGGUAAACGGCGGCCGUAACUAUAACGGUCCUAAGGUAGCGAAAUUCCUUGUCGGGUAAGUUCCGACCUGCACGAAUGGCGUAAUGAUGGCCAGGCUGUCUCCACCCGAGACUCAGUGAAAUUGAACUCGCUGUGAAGAUGCAGUGUACCCGCGGCAAGACGGAAAGACCCCGUGAACCUUUACUAUAGCUUGACACUGAACAUUGAGCCUUGAUGUGUAGGAUAGGUGGGAGGCUUUGAAGCGUGGACGCCAGUCUGCGUGGAGCCAACCUUGAAAUACCACCCUUUAAUGUUUGAUGUUCUAACGUUGGCCCCUGACCGGGGUUGCGGACAGUGUCUGGUGGGUAGUUUGACUGGGGCGGUCUCCUCCCAAAGCGUAACGGAGGAGCACGAAGGUUAGCUAAUCCUGGUCGGACAUCAGGAGGUUAGUGCAAUGGCAUAAGCUAGCUUGACUGCGAGCGUGACGGCGCGAGCAGGUGCGAAAAGCAGGUCAUAGUGAUCCGGUGGUUCUGAAUGGAAGGGCCAUCGCUCAACGGAUAAAAAGGUACUCCGGGGAUAACAGGCUGAUACCGCCCAAGAGUUCAUAUCGACGGCGGUGUUUGGCACCUCGAUGUCGGCUCAUCACAUCCUGGGGCUGAAGUAGGUCCCAAGGGUAUGGCUGUUCGCCAUUUAAAGUGGUACGCGAGCUGGGUUUAGAACGUCGUGAGACAGUUCGGUCCCUAUCUGCCGUGGGCGCUGGAGAAUUGAGGGGGGCUGCUCCUAGUACGAGAGGACCGGAGUGGACGCAUCACUGGUGUUCGGGUUGUCAUGCCAAUGGCACUGCCCGGUAGCUAAAUGCGGAAGAGAUAAGUGCUGAAAGCAUCUAAGCACGAAACUUGCCCCGAGAUGAGUUCUCCCUGAGACUUUAAGUCUCCUGAAGGAACGUUGAAGACGACGACGUUGAUAGGCCGGGUGUGUAAGCGCAGCGAUGCGUUGAGCUAACCGGUACUAAUGAACCGUGAGGCUUAACCUU